GGCGGGAUACUCAAGUUUGGUUAAGAGGCCGCAUUGCUAAUGUAGUAUGGGAUACAGCCUGCGCAGGUUCAAAUCCUGCUCCUGCCGCCA
Molecule: transfer RNA, 90 nt
Filed under: Caudoviricetes sp.
Lineage: Duplodnaviria; Heunggongvirae; Uroviricota; Caudoviricetes
Description: tRNA-Ser
Rfam family: tRNA
About the family: Transfer RNA (tRNA) molecules are approximately 80 nucleotides in length. Their secondary structure includes four short double-helical elements and three loops (D, anti-codon, and T loops).
Source: RNAcentral